This 709-nucleotide ribosomal RNA is filed under the name Citrobacter portucalensis. RNAcentral describes it as "partial 16S rRNA". The record is from RNAcentral. Lineage: Bacteria; Pseudomonadati; Pseudomonadota; Gammaproteobacteria; Enterobacterales; Enterobacteriaceae.
UUGUCCAGGGGGCCGCCUUCGCCACCGGUAUUCCUCCAGAUCUCUACGCAUUUCACCGCUACACCUGGAAUUCUACCCCCCUCUACAAGACUCUAGCCUGCCAGUUUCGGAUGCAGUUCCCAGGUUGAGCCCGGGGAUUUCACAUCCGACUUGACAGACCGCCUGCGUGCGCUUUACGCCCAGUAAUUCCGAUUAACGCUUGCACCCUCCGUAUUACCGCGGCUGCUGGCACGGAGUUAGCCGGUGCUUCUUCUGCGAGUAACGUCAAUUGCUGCGGUUAUUAACCACAACACCUUCCUCCUCGCUGAAAGUACUUUACAACCCGAAGGCCUUCUUCAUACACGCGGCAUGGCUGCAUCAGGCUUGCGCCCAUUGUGCAAUAUUCCCCACUGCUGCCUCCCGUAGGAGUCUGGACCGUGUCUCAGUUCCAGUGUGGCUGGUCAUCCUCUCAGACCAGCUAGGGAUCGUCGCCUAGGUGAGCCGUUACCCCACCUACUAGCUAAUCCCAUCUGGGCACAUCCGAUGGCAAGAGGCCCGAAGGUCCCCCUCUUUGGUCUUGCGACGUUAUGCGGUAUUAGCUACCGUUUCCAGUAGUUAUCCCCCUCCAUCGGGCAGUUUCCCAGACAUUACUCACCCGUCCGCCACUCGUCACCCAAGGAGCAAGCUCCUCUGUGCUACCGUUCGACUUGCAUGUGUUAGGCCUGCCGCC